Molecule: ribosomal RNA, 253 nt
Filed under: uncultured bacterium
Lineage: Bacteria
Description: partial 16S ribosomal RNA
Rfam family: Bacterial small subunit ribosomal RNA
Source: RNAcentral
UACGUAGGGUGCGAGCGUUAAUCGGAAUUACUGGGCGUAAAGGGCGCGUAGGCGGCCUGCUAAGUCGAACGUGAAAUCCCCGGGCUCAACCCGGGAACUGCGUCCGAUACUGGCAGGCUUGAAUUCGGGAGAGGGAUGUGGAAUUCCAGGUGUAGCGGUGAAAUGCGUAGAUAUCUGGAGGAACACCGGUGGCGAAGGCGGCAUCCUGGACCGAGAUUGACGCUGAUGCGCGAAAGCCAGGGGAGCAAACGGG